This 573-nucleotide ribosomal RNA is filed under the name Triticum aestivum (bread wheat). Its description in RNAcentral is "partial small subunit ribosomal RNA". Lineage: Eukaryota; Viridiplantae; Streptophyta; Magnoliopsida; Poales; Poaceae. The record is from RNAcentral.
AGCAUCUCGGACCGCCUGAACUGUCAACUCGGAUGUUUCCCCACGACAUAUUUGGGGAUCCCCAUUAGUGACUCUAGGCUCACGGUGGCCGAGUUGCGCCCCACGGUGAACAAGCUCCAACACUGUAUUGAGCCUUGGCAGGGGAGAUGGCUCUCUAAGGCCACUCGGACGGUGCUCAUUAACUCGUCCUUGUCUAGCAUGCUCCUAUUCAUUAUGAGCUAUUAUAGCCUGCUAGAGACGCAUCAUGAGAUUGCUAGAGUCCAGGGCCGUUUCUUCUGGGCUGGCGAGGGUGAUAAGCAGAAGUACCACAUGGUUCGGUGGACUGAGAUCUGUAAGCCUCGCGACCAGGGUGGCCUCGGGAUCAUGUCCUCCAAACGCAUGAACAUUGCACUACUUAUUAGGUGGCUAUGGCGGAUAGCGAACGGAGAGGGUGGCCUUUGGCUCCGCAUCAUUCAGCAGAAAUACCUCCGCGGACAGCCGCUCGCAUUCUGCCAGCGAUCCGGAGGCUCUCAGUUUUGGCAAUCCAUCAUUCAGCUAUUGCCUGUCCUUCGCCUCGGGACAUCGAUCGUGGUU